AUGGAACAACUAGAUGGGUUUGUAAUAGAUGGUCAGGAAGGGAAAUUGUGCAUGCUGCUGAAGUCUUUGUAUGGACUUAAGCAAGCACCCAAACAGUGGCAUGAGAAGUUCGAAAGAACUUUAAAAGCUGCAGGCUUUGUUGUGAACAAAGCUGACAAAUGCGUGCACUAUUGCCAUGGUGGGGCAAAUCUGAAUGUUAUUAAGGAGGUCAAGGAUGUCCUAUCUCGCUGUUUUGAGAUGAAGGAUUUAGGAGUGGCUGAUGUCAUUCUGAACAUCAAGUUGUUGAUAGACGAUGAUGGUGGGAUUACAUUGCUUCAAUCUCACUAUAUGGAAAAGAUCUUGAGUCGCUUUGGUUACAGUGACAGCAAGCCCUCUCCAACACCAUAUGAUGCUAGUGUGUUGCUUCGAAAGAAUCAAAGAAUUGUUAGAGACCAAUUGAAAUAUUCCCAAAUUAUUGGCUCGCUUAUGUACUUAGCCAGUGCUACAAGACCGGACAUCUCUUUUGCUGUUAGCAAACUGAACCGUUUUGUCUCAAAACCAGGAGAUGUGCAUUGGAAAGCUCUAGAGAGAGUUUUGCGUCAUUUGAAAGGCACUGUGAAUUAUGGAAUUCACUACACUGGGCACCCAAAGGUGCUUGAAGGGUAUAGUUACUCAAACUGGAUCUCAGAUGCUGAUGAGAUAAAGGCCACGAGUGGAUAUGUAUUCACUCAUGGAGGUGGCGCAGUUUCUUGGAAAUCUUGCAAGCAGACCAUCUUAACGAGGUCAACAAUGGAAGAAGAACUCAAAGCGCUAGAUACAGCUACGGUCGAAGCAGAUUGGCUUCGUCGGCUCUUGAAUGACUUCUCAGUUGUUGAAUAA
RNAcentral lists this ribosomal RNA (858 nucleotides) under Triticum aestivum (bread wheat). Its description in RNAcentral is "partial small subunit ribosomal RNA". The record is from RNAcentral. Lineage: Eukaryota; Viridiplantae; Streptophyta; Magnoliopsida; Poales; Poaceae.